Molecule: ribosomal RNA, 488 nt
Filed under: Variovorax sp. NAR7(10)
Lineage: Bacteria; Pseudomonadati; Pseudomonadota; Betaproteobacteria; Burkholderiales; Comamonadaceae
Description: bacterial SSU rRNA
Rfam family: Bacterial small subunit ribosomal RNA
Source: RNAcentral
CAGAUUGAACGCUGGCGGCAUGCCUUACACAUGCAAGUCGAACGGCAGCACGGGAGCAAUCCUGGUGGCGAGUGGCGAACGGGUGAGUAAUACAUCGGAACGUGCCCAAUCGUGGGGGAUAACGCAGCGAAAGCUGUGCUAAUACCGCAUACGAUCUACGGAUGAAAGCAGGGGACCGCAAGGCCUUGUGCGAAUGGAGCGGCCGAUGGCAGAUUAGGUAGUUGGUGAGGUAAAGGCUCACCAAGCCUUCGAUCUGUAGCUGGUCUGAGAGGACGACCAGCCACACUGGGACUGAGACACGGCCCAAACUCCUACGGGAGGCAGCAGUGGGGAAUUUUGGACAAUGGGCGCAAGCCUGAUCCAGCCAUGCCGCGUGCAGGAUGAAGGCCUUCGGGUUGUAAACUGCUUUUGUACGGAACGAAACGGCUCUUUCUAAUAAAGAGGGCUAAGGACGGUUCCGUAAGAAUAAGCACCGGCUAACUACGUGC